UGCCCAGCAGGGUGCAAACGUCAGGCAGU
Molecule: non-coding RNA, 29 nt
Filed under: Rattus norvegicus (Norway rat)
Lineage: Eukaryota; Metazoa; Chordata; Mammalia; Rodentia; Muridae
Source: RNAcentral